AGUGAACGCUGGCGGUAGGCCUAACACAUGCGAGUCGAACGGCAGCACAGUAAGAGCUUGCUCUUACGGGUGGCGAGUGGCGGACGGGUGAGGAAUACAUCGGAAUCUACUUUUUCGUGGGGGAUAACGUAGGGAAACUUACGCUAAUACCGCAUACGACCUACGGGUGAAAGCAGGGGAUCUUCGGACCUUGCGCGAUUGAAUGAGCCGAUGUCGGAUUAGCUAGUUGGCGGGGUAAAGGCCCACCAAGGCGACGAUCCGUAGCUGGUCUGAGAGGAUGAUCAGCCACACUGGAACUGAGACACGGUCCAGACUCCUACGGGAGGCAGCAGUGGGGAAUCUUGCACAAUGGGCGAAAGCCUGAUCCAGCCAUACCGCGUGGGUGAAGAAGGCCUUCGGGUUGUAAAGCCCUUUUGUUGGGAAAGAAAAGAAGCAGGUUAAUACCCGGCUGUUCUGACGGUACCCAAAGAAUAAGCACCGGCUAACUUCGUG
Molecule: ribosomal RNA, 492 nt
Filed under: uncultured bacterium
Lineage: Bacteria
Description: partial 16S ribosomal RNA
Rfam family: Bacterial small subunit ribosomal RNA
Source: RNAcentral